RNAcentral lists this ribosomal RNA (419 nucleotides) under uncultured bacterium. RNAcentral's name for it is "bacterial SSU rRNA". It matches the Rfam family "Bacterial small subunit ribosomal RNA", at positions 358 to 774 of the family's 1533-position model. The record is from RNAcentral.
GGAAUAUUGGUCAAUGGACGGAAGUCUGAACCAGCCAUGCCGCGUGGAGGAAGAAGGUCCUAUGGGUUGUAAACUCCUUUUGUCCGAGAGUAAUAAGGUCUUUGCGAAGACCGAUGAGAGUAUCGGGCGAAUAAGCAUCGGCUAACUCCGUGCCAGCAGCCGCGGUAAUACGGAGGAUGCAAGCGUUAUCCGGAUUUAUUGGGUUUAAAGGGUGCGCAGGCGGGCUGUUAAGUCAGCGGUGAAAUCUCCCGGCUCAACCGGGGAACUGCCGUUGAUACUGGCAGCCUAGAGUACAGACGGCGCCGGCGGAAUGUGUCAUGUAGCGGUGAAAUGCUUAGAUAUGCCACAGAACACCGAUCGCGAAGGCAGCUGGCGAGGCUGGGACUGACGCUCAGGCACGAAAGCGUGGGGAUCAAACA